RNA transcript from Scylla paramamosain (green mud crab), 1411 nucleotides. RefSeq lists it as uncharacterized. Lineage: Eukaryota; Metazoa; Arthropoda; Malacostraca; Decapoda; Portunidae. The transcript is spliced from 6 exons. The record is from RefSeq and is a predicted model, not a curated record.
UUGAUAUUGUGAAUAUUAAUUAGAGUAAUUAUCAAAUCAGAAUAUAUAAGACAUUCGAGCCUAGCUUCAUUUUUUCUAGAGGUCAAUUUCAAAAUUAAAUACGUUACGUACGUAAUCCAGCGGGCUGGCGGCAGCUCGCCCGUGACGUCAUCAAGGAUCCGGGACUCGCUCGGCUCCAGUGUCUCCUCAUCAAUAUUUACCGUAAAUUCCAGUAUUUUCUAGGUGUUUCCAGCUGUUUCCAAACUCAGGUGUGUAGGCAGAAGGAGAAAAAUUAGAGAAAUGGAAGAGGAGGAAAAAAUAAGGAGAAAUGGAGGAGCAGGCAAAACAGUUACAAGCUGAAUAUCUGGGACAUUGGUGGCAUGUCCUCCUGCCAGACCUACUGGAGGAACUUUUUGAGUGCACUGACAUCCUUAUCUGGGUGUUGGACGGUGCUGAUGGAAACUGCAUGAGAGACUGUCAGGGGGUACUGAAGAAACUGGCAGCAAGUGCAUCCAGAAGCAGUGCCUUUGUGACGUCAUCAAGGGCUGCAGUAGUGGAGAGGAUUAGAUGGUGCUGCCGUGUGGCAUUGAUGAGUGCCGGGAGAAGAAUGGCGGGUGUGGGCACCUCUGCGUCAGCACUGUGGAGCCGAACUACUACUGCCAGUACCAGCCAGGGUAGACUCAUCAAGAAGUUUAACUGUGAAGACAUUGAUGAGUGUGUGGCGCCCAGGUCCUGCUUCCAAUAUUGCACUAACACCACUGGUGGCUUCCACUGCUGCAGUCAGCCUGGCUACCGCCGUCACUCUUCCAACUACAUGCACUGCAUGGCAGAUUCUGGCAAUCCCUAUCUCAUCUCUUAUAGAGCCCAUAUGAGCAGUCCAGAGACUCCUUGGGUGCUGGUGGAGAAGAAUGAGAUGACAGUGGAUGGUCUUGCAGUCUGGAUCCAUGGGAACAUUUAGUUCACAGACAUCUCGGUAAACAAGAUCCAGAUGAUUUCCUGGGAUGGCUACUGGACUUGCACCAUUGUGACUGAUAAACUGGACCUUUCUCAUGCAACUGCUGUGAAUGCCAUUGAUGGGCAGCUUCUCCCUGCAUCGACCACCGCUGAGCAGCACCAGAGAGGCAUGAGUAUGUAAGGUUAGUCCAGCAUUGCCAGCCACCCCUUAGUCAGCCUUCGUUCUUGUUUAUUUAGGUUUAAUUAGUCGUUUUUUAGGUAUUUUUUGAGGUUGAUUUAUUUUUAGAUUUUGUUUACAUCUGAGUCUGGAAACAGUUGGAGAUUUAGAGAAAUAUUGAAAGUUCAUCAAUAUGUAAACAAGCUGUCAGCUGAGGUAGAGGUUGGGAGUCAGUGUUUUCAGCCUUUAUUUGCUUCAUCUCACACUUAUUGUAAGCUAAACAUAUCACAAGAUGGAGCCAUAUGUCUACCCUUCAUAUCC